Molecule: transfer RNA, 70 nt
Filed under: Camelus bactrianus (Bactrian camel)
Lineage: Eukaryota; Metazoa; Chordata; Mammalia; Artiodactyla; Camelidae
Also listed under: 2 other names
Rfam family: tRNA
About the family: Transfer RNA (tRNA) molecules are approximately 80 nucleotides in length.
Source: Rfam by way of RNAcentral
GGUAAUAGCUCAGUAGUAGAGCGUGUGCCCAGCAAGAACAAGGUCCUGGGUUCAAUCCCCAGUACUGCCA